Molecule: ribosomal RNA, 628 nt
Filed under: uncultured Piscinibacter sp.
Lineage: Bacteria; Pseudomonadati; Pseudomonadota; Betaproteobacteria; Burkholderiales; Sphaerotilaceae
Description: bacterial SSU rRNA
Rfam family: Bacterial small subunit ribosomal RNA
Source: RNAcentral
CCUGGCGACGAGUGGCGAACGGGUGAGUAAUACAUCGGAACGUGCCCAGUAGUGGGGGAUAGCCCGGCGAAAGCCGGAUUAAUACCGCAUACGACCUACGGGUGAAAGCGGGGGAUCGCAAGACCUCGCGCUAUUGGAGCGGCCGAUGUCAGAUUAGCUAGUUGGUGGGGUAAAGGCCUACCAAGGCGACGAUCUGUAGCUGGUCUGAGAGGACGACCAGCCACACUGGGACUGAGACACGGCCCAGACUCCUACGGGAGGCAGCAGUGGGGAAUUUUGGACAAUGGGGGCAACCCUGAUCCAGCCAUGCCGCGUGCGGGAAGAAGGCCUUCGGGUUGUAAACCGCUUUUGUCGGGGAAGAAACGGUCUGCGCUAAUACCGCGGGCUAAUGACGGUACCCGAAGAAUAAGCACCGGCUAACUACGUGCCAGCAGCCGCGGUAAUACGUAGGGUGCAAGCGUUAAUCGGAAUUACUGGGCGUAAAGCGUGCGCAGGCGGCUUUGCAAGACAGAUGUGAAAUCCCCGGGCUCAACCUGGGAACUGCAUUUGUGACUGCAUGGCUAGAGUGCGGCAGAGGGGGAUGGAAUUCCGCGUGUAGCAGUGAAAUGCGUAGAUAUGCGGAGGAACA